UCCCAUAUGGUCUAGUGGUUAGGAUUUGGCGCUUUCACCGCCAAGGCCCGGAAUCAAUUCCUGGUGCGGGAA
RNAcentral lists this transfer RNA (72 nucleotides) under Saccoglossus kowalevskii. RNAcentral describes it as "tRNA-Glu". It matches the Rfam family "tRNA". From Rfam's summary of the family: Transfer RNA (tRNA) molecules are approximately 80 nucleotides in length. Their secondary structure includes four short double-helical elements and three loops (D, anti-codon, and T loops). Lineage: Eukaryota; Metazoa; Hemichordata; Enteropneusta; Harrimaniidae. The record is from RNAcentral.